This 72-nucleotide transfer RNA is filed under the name Camelus bactrianus (Bactrian camel). It matches the Rfam family "tRNA". From Rfam's summary of the family: Transfer RNA (tRNA) molecules are approximately 80 nucleotides in length. The record is from Rfam by way of RNAcentral. RNAcentral also lists the same sequence under 2 other names. Lineage: Eukaryota; Metazoa; Chordata; Mammalia; Artiodactyla; Camelidae.
AGAGUAUAGUUCAGUGGUAGAGUGCAUGCCUAGCAGGCAUGAGGGUCCUGGGUUCAACCCCCAGUACCUCUA